UACGAAGGGGGCGAGCGUUGUUCGGAAUUACUGGGCGUAAAGGGCGCGUAGGCGGCGACCCAAGUCAGAUGUGAAAGUCCUGGGCUUAACCUGGGGACUGCAUUUGAUACUGGGUUGCUUGAAUUCGGGAGAGGAUAGCGGAAUUCCCAGUGUAGAGGUGAAAUUCGUAGAUAUUGGGAAGAACACCGGUGGCGAAGGCGGCUAUCUGGACCGACAUUGACGCUGAGGCGCGAAAGCGUAGGGAGCAAACAGG
Molecule: ribosomal RNA, 253 nt
Filed under: uncultured bacterium
Lineage: Bacteria
Description: partial 16S ribosomal RNA
Rfam family: Bacterial small subunit ribosomal RNA
Source: RNAcentral